GAUGAACGCUAGCGGCAGGCUUAAUACAUGCAAGUCGUGGGGCAGCAGGUUUGUAGCAAUACAGAUGCUGGCGACCGGCAAACGGGUGCGGAACACGUACAGAACCUUCCUUUGAGCGGGGAAUAGCCCAGAGAAAUUUGGAUUAAUACCCCAUAGUAUAAUGAAGUGGCAUCACUUUAUUAUUAAAGAUUUAUCACUCGAAGAUGGCUGUGCGGCUGAUUAGGUAGUUGGCGGGGUAAAGGCCCACCAAGCCUGCGAUCAGUAACUGGUGUGAGAGCACGACCAGUCACACGGGCACUGAGACACGGGCCCGACUCCUACGGGAGGCAGCAGUAAGGAAUAUUGGUCAAUGGAGGCAACUCUGAACCAGCCAUGCCGCGUGGAGGAUGAAGGUCCUCUGGAUUGUAAACUUCUUUUAUAUGGGACGAAAAAAGGCUUUUACGUAAGUCGUCUGACGGUACCAUAUGAAUAAGCACCGGCUAACUCCGUGCCAGCAGCCG
RNAcentral lists this ribosomal RNA (500 nucleotides) under uncultured bacterium. RNAcentral describes it as "bacterial SSU rRNA". It matches the Rfam family "Bacterial small subunit ribosomal RNA", at positions 28 to 517 of the family's 1533-position model. The record is from RNAcentral.